This 91-nucleotide transfer RNA is filed under the name Candidatus Nucleicultrix amoebiphila FS5. RNAcentral's name for it is "tRNA-Ser". It matches the Rfam family "tRNA". Rfam says of the family: Transfer RNA (tRNA) molecules are approximately 80 nucleotides in length. Their secondary structure includes four short double-helical elements and three loops (D, anti-codon, and T loops). Further hydrogen bonds mediate the characteristic L-shaped molecular structure. tRNAs have two regions of fundamental functional importance: the anti-codon, which is responsible for specific mRNA codon recognition, and the 3' end, to which the tRNAs corresponding amino acid is attached (by aminoacyl-tRNA synthetases). tRNAs cope with the degeneracy of the genetic code in two manners: having more than one tRNA (with a specific anti-codon) for a particular amino acid; and 'wobble' base-pairing, i.e. permitting non-standard base-pairing at the 3rd anti-codon position. Lineage: Bacteria; Pseudomonadati; Pseudomonadota; Alphaproteobacteria; Holosporales; Nucleicultricaceae (SeqCode). The record is from RNAcentral.
GGAGGGGUGGCCGAGUGGUUGAAGGCGCACGAUUGGAAAUCGUGUAUACGUUAAUAGCGUAUCGUGGGUUCGAAUCCCAUCCCCUCCGCCA